This 253-nucleotide ribosomal RNA is filed under the name uncultured bacterium. Its description in RNAcentral is "partial 16S ribosomal RNA". It matches the Rfam family "Bacterial small subunit ribosomal RNA", at positions 524 to 776 of the family's 1533-position model. The record is from RNAcentral.
UACAGAGGUCUCAAGCGUUGUUCGGAUUCAUUGGGCGUAAAGGGUGCGUAGGCGGCGCGGUAAGUCGGGUGUGAAAUCUCGGAGCUUAACUCCGAAACUGCAUUCGAUACUGCCGUGCUUGAGGACUGGAGAGGAGACUGGAAUUUACGGUGUAGCGGUGAAAUGCGUAGAUAUCAGGAGGAAUACCGAUGGCGAAGGCAGGUCUCUGGGCUAUAACUGACGCUCAUGCACGAAAGCGUGGGGAGCAAACAGG